This 1434-nucleotide ribosomal RNA is filed under the name Triticum aestivum (bread wheat). RNAcentral describes it as "partial small subunit ribosomal RNA". The record is from RNAcentral. Lineage: Eukaryota; Viridiplantae; Streptophyta; Magnoliopsida; Poales; Poaceae.
GAGAAAGCUAAGCCAGAGGGUCUCAUUCCCCUACCUCACAGUGCCGAAGAGGUGCGGUGGCUAGAUGCGAGGGAAACCGAGUAGAUUUUGGGGACGGCCAAAAAGUUGUUCCUAGCUAGACCUCGUGCGUUCUCUAGUGAUUCUAUAUUUCACGUAAACUCGGAUUGUAUCCGCGAGGCACGCAGCCUUGAUUAUCCUUAUCAAUAAAGCUUGAAAUUCUCUCAAGAAACAGAGAUAAAUUUGACAAAAUUAGGCUUGAACCUCUGUAUUUCGUUUUUUUAGGCAAACCUCUCUAUUUCGUAGAAAUGGAAAGGUAGAAGUCAUGUCCAGGUCCAGCCCAACGAGGAGAACCAUCUGACAAAGUCCAACUUAUCGCCACGAAGAGAGCUUGUAAGCCCACUGGGCCCAAGCCGCCUCCAGAACAACACCAAUUCACCACCGAUGCAGAGGCUCUCGCAGGUCGCGCUCCGCCGCCUCCUGUCGCCGCCGUCGGCCGCGGCAGCCGCUCGCCGGGCAGCGCCGGCGGCCGCGGAGGCAUGUUUCAGCGGAGCAGUACCUAUCCUACGCCGCGCCGGUGGCGCCGAGGUCGCGGCGGGCGGUUGGAGUGGCGGAUCUGGGAUCCUCUUGUGCCGCAGGCUCUGCACCUACAACGAGAGAGAUGACAGGGCACUUGAGGAGGAAGUUGAGAAGAAAUUUGGAUGGAUAUUAAAGAUAUUCUUCAUAGGGACUGCUGGCCUUGUUGGUUGGCAAUUCUUUCCCUACAUGGGGGAUAACCUACUACAGCAAUCCAUUACGCUUUUACAUGUCAAAGAUCCCUUGUUCAAGCGGAUGGGGGCUUCCAGAUUAGCUCGUUUUGCCGUUGAUGAUGAAAGGAGAAUGAAGGUGGUAGAGAUGGGUGGAGCUCAAGAAAUUCUCAAUGUGUUAGAAGGUGCUAAAGAUGAUAAAACACGCAAAGAAGCUCUGAAAGCUCUCGUGGCACUUGCAAAGUCGGAUAAAGCUGCGGGGUUUUUGGACAAGGCAGGUGCCUACGCCAUCGUCGCCUCCACUCCAAAUUCCCCCGAAUAUGCCGAGAUCGAGGCCUGCAAGGCUAGCCUUCUCAAGACGUUUGAUCAACUGAAGUCGUGAUGGUAAAUGCCCGGGUGGGUUUAUCUGCAUGUUUUCUCCAAACUGAAGUCGUGACUGGGCCAUUAUUUUGAUUGAAACAAGAAAACAAGCUCGGUGCACCAUUUUCUCUUCCUGGGGGCUCCGAUUUGCGACACCCCGGGCUUGUUGCUGGCGCGAGACAUUUUGUUCCAAGCACUCAACUUUGGGGUACCUUCUUUGUACUAUGAUACUGGCAAUUGGUCUAUGCAGUUCUUUUUGGUGAUGGGAUUGAAAUCACUACUACAAUGUUCUCAUCAAACGUCUUUAAUAAGAAUAUACUAUAUGCUGGGC